RNAcentral lists this ribosomal RNA (461 nucleotides) under uncultured bacterium. RNAcentral's name for it is "partial 16S ribosomal RNA". It matches the Rfam family "Bacterial small subunit ribosomal RNA", at positions 338 to 795 of the family's 1533-position model. The record is from RNAcentral.
CCUACGGGUGGCUGCAGUGAGGAAUAUUGGUCAAUGGGCUUACGCCUGAACCAGCCAAGUCGCGUGAGGGAAGACUGCCCUAUGGGUUGUAAACCUCUUUUGUCAGGGAGCAACGCCGGCUACGUGUAGCCGGCCUGAGAGUACCUGCAGAAAAAGCCUCGGCUAACUCCGUGCCAGCAGCCGCGGUAAUACGGAGGAUCCGAGCGUUAUCCGGAUUUAUUGGGUUUAAAGGGAGCGUAGGUGGAUUGUUAAGUCAGUUGUGAAAGUUUGCGGCUCAACCGUAAAAUUGCAGUUGAAACUGGCAGUCUUGAGUACAGUAGAGGUGGGCGGAAUUCGUGGUGUAGCGGUGAAAUGCUUAGAUAUCACGAAGAACUCCGAUUGCGAAGGCAGCUCACUGGACUGCAACUGACACUGAGGCUCGAAAGUGUGGGUAUCAAACAGGAUUAGAUACCCUUGUAGUC